GACGUAGGGCGCGAGCGUUGUCCGGAUUUAUUGGGCGUAAAGAGCUCGUAGGCGGUGUGUCGCGUCGGCCGUGAAAACCUGCAGCUUAACUGUGGGCUUGCGGUCGAUACGGGCAUCACUGGAGUUCGGCAGGGGAGACUGGAAUUCCUGGUGUAGCGGUGAAAUGCGCAGAUAUCAGGAGGAACACCGGUGGCGAAGGCGGGUCUCUGGGCCGAUACUGACGCUGAGGAGCGAAAGCGUGGGGAGCAAACAGG
This 254-nucleotide ribosomal RNA is filed under the name uncultured bacterium. Its description in RNAcentral is "partial 16S ribosomal RNA". It matches the Rfam family "Bacterial small subunit ribosomal RNA", at positions 524 to 776 of the family's 1533-position model. The record is from RNAcentral.